Oncorhynchus tshawytscha (Chinook salmon) is the source of this 1922-nucleotide long non-coding RNA. The record is from Ensembl. Lineage: Eukaryota; Metazoa; Chordata; Actinopteri; Salmoniformes; Salmonidae.
GAAGACUCCAGAGGCUUGCUGUGGCCAAAUCAAGCAUUGCUGUGCGCCUUCCACAUUUUGUAACAAUGCUGAGGGCUCCAUAUAGCUCUGUAUUGACACGAUUGGUUGAAGGUAGACGCGGGGGGGCUUACAUCCUGUAUAAAAAACAAAUUCACUUCCAUGACAAACAUGGAUAAUUUUGUGGGAAGGAUAACAAGUUUACAAAAAAACAACAAUAUUUGAUACCUUGCGUAGGCAUUUCAAAGACACCUAAAUUAGUUUGAACUCCUGGAAAGAGAUCGGGGACGUAAUGGUGAUACAUGCUUUAUAAACAAACAAACUCUCGUAUAAACAGAAACUCACUACCUUAAAUUGAUUAUUUUGAGGAAAGGCUACCAGAAAAAAGAUCUUUAUGAUACCUUGUUUAGGGAUUUCAAAGACGACAAUUUGUUUGAACUACUGGAAAGAGAUCGGGAAGACAAUGGGGAUAGAUGCGAUAAAGAAAUCAAUGGAGUUAAAUAAACGUUAAAUCCACGUUAACAGUGGAUAUUUGUCAAAAUCCGAUUUGGAUAUACUUGGCUGUUUUUGAUGCGUAACAUUUAGAAGUUUUUCCAGAUUUAAAAGUGACUACAAAUGCUAACUCCCAUUCGUAUAAACUGGUAGCAUAGCUAGCAUACAGAAAUAGGUGUUGGUAGUUAACUGUAGUUAAAAAACAACAACCUGUAAUGCAGUUGAUUAAUGACAUGAACAUGUAUUGGAGUUGACAUCCGUACAAGCAUUAUACUCCUAUUUCUACCUCAACAUGUGAAAUACACAUAUAAACAGCCUAAAUGUAGGCUAGUUUUUCUGGGGAGCAAUGGUUAGAUUUGCGAUGGGAUGCUGGUGGGAAAACGGUGCAGUCCUCCUACUUCAUGCGCUCUUGGGUGAGCUCUUACGUCAAGCACCAGGAAACUGACGCCACAUCUCAGAUGAGAAUCUCCAUACAAAGCCCACCAAGUCUCAGUUGAAGAUGAGCCACAUGUCAACUGUCAAUCAUUCCCUGCCAGAUAUCACUACCUGAAUCUAUAAAGACUCGUAAACUGAACUGCAUCGCUGCCUCCGCCUGCUCUUUAAUUGGAGUCCCACAGUCGAUGGGCAUCGCCACAACCCUCACCUAAACCUCAAUCAGUUACACAAUAUUGUUCAAUUACAAGAUUGCAACAGGCUGUGAACCAAAGUUUUGGUCACUGUUUCUCUGGGCACCCUUAUUAGGGGAAGACAUGCAGGCAAUGCGUAUGCUCAUGUUCAGGCGAGAGCUUUGUACCUGGAAGGUCGUUUGUGUAUAAGCUGUUGUUGGUGUUGGUUUAUUUCUGUGAGCAACCAUGCUGUCUUGAAGAAAUGUUUGGGGUGCGGUCGAUUUGUUCUGAAUGGUACGUGUUGAGUUUGACCAUCAUUGAGUUUAUUCAUUUGACAAUAUUUAAGAUGCUGAUUUAAUGUAAAGCUCCUGCCAUGUCAUUUUGUUUUCAGUUUGUUUGGAGAGGCUUUGCUGGUUUGAGAUCCAGGCAGUUUAUUAGCAGUGCCCUCCAAUAAGUUGACCGUCUUUAAGUAAAGUCAUUUUUGUAUUUCUAAAAUACCUCAUGUUUUUGUAAAUGGAGUGGUUUAACUGUUUAUUUUCACUGUUUUUGGUCAUCUUGUGAACUUGGCCAACUGAAUCUCUGUGAAAUCACUGUUGUAUUUCAGAAAGCUGUGUAGUGGAAGUAACAGGCCGUUAUUGUAAAUAAGAAUUUGUUCUUAAUAACUGGCUUGCCUUGUUAAAUAAAAGGUUUAGUUGUGUUUUAAUCAUUUAAUGUACUCUUGUUCAUGUGUCAAACAAGCAAACCUAAUCCCCUGAGCUUUAAACGUUUGUGGUUGUUCUGCCUCUGUACUGUUUCCAUCUAAUGGGCUUAGAACCUAUAACCUUUUAG